This 208-nucleotide microRNA precursor is filed under the name Oryza rufipogon (brownbeard rice). RNAcentral's name for it is "MIR812 microRNA precursor family". It matches the Rfam family "MIR812 microRNA precursor family". The record is from Rfam by way of RNAcentral. Lineage: Eukaryota; Viridiplantae; Streptophyta; Magnoliopsida; Poales; Poaceae.
AAUAAGUGCAGCCGUGGAUAUCCGUACCCAACGUUUGACCGUCCAUCUUAUUUAAAAAAUUUGUGAAAAAUUUGAAAAUAUUUAGUCACACAUAAAGUACUAUUUAUGUUUUAUCAUCUAAUAGCAAUAAAAAUACUAAUCAUAAAAAAUUUUCAAAUAAGAUGAAUGAUCAAACGUUGAAUGUGAAUAGUGUAAAACUGCAGUUAUU